This 673-nucleotide ribosomal RNA is filed under the name uncultured Vibrionaceae bacterium. RNAcentral's name for it is "bacterial SSU rRNA". It matches the Rfam family "Bacterial small subunit ribosomal RNA", at positions 1 to 671 of the family's 1533-position model. Lineage: Bacteria; Pseudomonadati; Pseudomonadota; Gammaproteobacteria; Vibrionales; Vibrionaceae. The record is from RNAcentral.
UAGAGUUUGAUCAUGGCUCAGAUUGAACGCUGGCGGCAGGCCUAACACAUGCAAGUCGAGCGGAAACGAGAAUAGCUUGCUAUUCGGCGUCGAGCGGCGGACGGGUGAGUAAUGCCUGGGAAUAUGCCCUGAUGUGGGGGAUAACUAUUGGAAACGAUAGCUAAUACCGCAUAAUCUCUUCGGAGUAAAGAGGGGGACCUUCGGGCCUCUCGCGUCAGGAUUAGCCCAGGUGGGAUUAGCUUGUUGGUGGGGUAAAGGCUCACCAAGGCAACGAUCCCUAGCUGGUCUGAGAGGAUGAUCAGCCACACUGGAACUGAGACACGGUCCAGACUCCUACGGGAGGCAGCAGUGGGGAAUAUUGCACAAUGGGGGAAACCCUGAUGCAGCCAUGCCGCGUGUAUGAAGAAGGCCUACGGGUUGUAAAGCACUUUCAGUUGUGAGGAAAGGGGUGUAGUUAAUAACUGCGCUCUGUGACGUUAACAACAGAAGAAGCACCGGCUAACUUCGUGCCAGCAGCCGCGGUAAUACGAGGGGUGCAAGCGUUAAUCGGAAUUACUGGGCGUAAAGCGUUCGUAGGCGGUUUGUUAAGCAAGAUGUGAAAGCCCAGGGCUCAACCUUGGAACCGCAUUUUGAACUGGCAAACUAGAGUACUGUAGAGGGGGGUAGAAUUUCA